UCAGCAGCCGCGGUAAUACAGAGGGUGCUAGCGUUAAUCGGAUUUACUGGGCGUAAAGCGUGCGUAGGUGGUUUGAUAAGUCGAUUGUGAAAGCCCCGGGCUCAACCUGGGAAUUGCGGUCGAUACUGUCAGACUCGAAAACGGUAGAGGGAGGUGGAACUCCAGGUGUAGCGGUGAAAUGCGUAGAUAUCUGGAAGAACACCGAUGGCGAAGGCAGCCUCCUGGGCCUGUUUUGACACUGAGGCACGAAAGCGUGGGUAGCAAACAGGAUUAGAUACCCUGGUAGUCCACGCCGUAAACGAUGANAACUUGACGUUGGUUUGCUUAGCAAAUCGGUGUCGUAGCUAACGCGAUAAGUUCUCCGCCUGGGG
RNAcentral lists this ribosomal RNA (371 nucleotides) under uncultured Nevskia sp. RNAcentral describes it as "bacterial SSU rRNA". It matches the Rfam family "Bacterial small subunit ribosomal RNA", at positions 508 to 878 of the family's 1533-position model. Lineage: Bacteria; Pseudomonadati; Pseudomonadota; Gammaproteobacteria; Nevskiales; Nevskiaceae. The record is from RNAcentral.